RNAcentral lists this ribosomal RNA (440 nucleotides) under uncultured bacterium. RNAcentral describes it as "partial 16S ribosomal RNA". It matches the Rfam family "Bacterial small subunit ribosomal RNA", at positions 338 to 795 of the family's 1533-position model. The record is from RNAcentral.
CCUACGGGUGGCAGCAGUGGGGGAUAUUGCACAAUGGGGGCAACCCUGACCCAGCCAUGCCGCGUGGGUGAAGGAGGGCUUCGGCUCGUAAAGCUCUUUCGGACGUGACGAUGAUGACGGUACCGUCUCAAGAAGCACCGGCAAACUACGUGCCAGCAGCCGCGGUAAUGCGUAGGGGCCAAGCGUUAUCCGGGUUUACUGGGUUUAAAGGGGGGGUAGAAGGGAUUGUAAGUCAGCAGUGAAAGCCCGGGGCCUAACCCCGGGAAUGCUUUUGAAAUGGGAUGGUUGGAGAGGCGGAGAGGCAGGCGGAAUGCGUAGUGUAGCGGUGAAAUGCGUAGAUAUUGCGAAGAACACCGAUGGCGAAGGCAGCAUACUGGCGGGGAUCUGACGUUGAGGCCCGAAAGCGUGGGUAUCGAACAGGAUUAGAUACCCCAGUAGUC